GAGCAAUUGCUUCUGGGCACAGAUGAUCAACGAAAAUUAGAAAGAACUACUUUGAACAGAAAACACAACAUUACAAGCAAAUCAAAUUCCAGAAUCCAGAACAAAGAAUAGAAAAUAAGAAGAGGAACCAAGAACAGAUCUAUGCAGACGAAGAGGGAGAAAGAAAGCGGGGCUUCAUCAUCGAUAUUUCGGGGCUGAAAUCGGGGGUACUAGUGGUGAAAUUUGAGAUCUGGGUUUGGUUAGUGGAGAGAGAAAGCGGGAGGUGCCGGACGAGAAGAAAUAGACAUAUAUGCAAACGAAGAGGGAAAAAGAGGGUGAGCUUACCAGUCACCGGCUUGUCGAUCUCGACUCGCGAGCAGUCAACAGACUCAACACCUUAGUGAAGAAGAAGAAGGGAGACAUCAGACGAGAAAAAAGAG
Molecule: long non-coding RNA, 419 nt
Filed under: Panax ginseng (ginseng)
Lineage: Eukaryota; Viridiplantae; Streptophyta; Magnoliopsida; Apiales; Araliaceae
Description: long non-coding RNA (PGIN_LNC000766)
Source: RNAcentral